Long non-coding RNA from Rhagoletis zephyria (snowberry fruit fly), 1586 nucleotides. RefSeq lists it as uncharacterized. The record is from RefSeq and is a predicted model, not a curated record. Lineage: Eukaryota; Metazoa; Arthropoda; Insecta; Diptera; Tephritidae.
UGCGGGACUGUUUGCACAUUUUCGCACAACGGCAAUUCGCGCGUGCAACGUGCAACGGCAACACGGCUACGUUCAAAAAGCUCAAUCGACGUUGUACUCGGUAGGGCUACAGCAUUUCGUUCGCUUCGGAAGACGUAAUUUUUCGUCGAAAUUUAAUUCGAUUCGAUUGACUCCAAUGACUUAAGUGCGUGAUCGCUUGUGAAUUUGGAAUUGGUUUUUUUUUUUUUUUUUUUUGUUAAACUAUAUGCAUACUUGAAUACUGUGAACAAGCCAUAAGUAAUCGUAAUUACAAAAUUAUUCGCACGAAAAUUAUUACAUUUCCCCAAAUACAUGUAUCGAGUUUAAAGUGUAUACGGGUUACCCCAAAAUGCAAUUGUACAAAUACUAGAAAAGUAAUGCAAUAAAUAAAAAAUAUUACGAUUAGCGUGUGCAAGUUUUGUGACAAGUGCAUUAAGGAAAUAACUGGUUGUGAUUGAUUGGCUUCCUUCUUGAGUGAUAUUUAAGCAAAAUAUUUAUUUCCAUCACACGAUUUGGCUAGCAACUUACACCAAAUUUUGCGCAAAAUUCCAAUCGUCUGACUCUGCCGUUUGAAGCGGAGAAUAGAAUAACUGUAAAAAUGUGCUGAAAAAAGUGUCAAUUUACAGUUUUGAAAAAUUGCAAAAAAAGAGCUACUUAAAUACACACAACUUAUAGCUGCUAAUUCUAAAAAGGUUAAGACAAAAAAUAUCGGAAACUAUUGCCUUCGUUUUGAGUGAAAAACCGACUUUAAGUAACUCCACAAUGGCAUGAACAAAUUGAUGAUAUCCGAAUAUAAAAAAACCAGUGGCAGCUAUAUAUUUCAGCAAAGGAAAAACAGUUUUUACAUCUGCAGUCUUACUACAAGCAUAAGUGGAAUGGAAAAUAAAUUACAAAAAUGCGUAAAUAAAAAUAAAAAAAAGACUACAUACAACAACAGGCAGGCUGUAUAAGUGAGUGAUAAAUUAAAUUUACACAUAUAAUUUCAAGAAGUGACUGUUAAAAAAAGACUUGUUCAAAUAAAAGUGCUUUACACUAAAAUAAAUUCUUAAAUGAAAACGAAAAGAAUUUGUAUUCCUCAAAUUUAGAAAAAGUAAAUAAUUAUUUUCUGAGGAUAACAAUACUUUUUCUGAGUGAAAUUGACAAUGACAACUGACGAAGUAAUCACUAUAAUAACUUAUACAUGUGUAUGUGUUGAGUUUCCGAAUAACUAAUAAGACAAAAGUUUUUCGUGAGUUUACAAUGAAGUGGUACGUAUGCAUGUGUUUUUAGCUAUUAAAACGUUAUAAAAAAACACAAAAUAAAACAAAGUAGACAAAGAAGGAAACCAAUGAAAACAGAGAACUACUCUUCAAGCACCUGAAACAAAUUGGGAAAACUGUAAUGAAAUGUAUUAAUAUGAACUUGUGAGAAAGAUUUGUGUUUAUUUAAAAACUAAACACAAUUUAAACCAAGUUUUUAAAUAAGCACAAAAAAGUGGAAAACAAUCAAAAAACUGAAAAAAACUACGAAACUUUGUUUGACUAUUUAACAGCAUAGCUUGCUGUAAGCUUUAGCAAAAACAACACUUG